This 956-nucleotide ribosomal RNA is filed under the name uncultured bacterium. RNAcentral's name for it is "bacterial SSU rRNA". It matches the Rfam family "Bacterial small subunit ribosomal RNA", at positions 521 to 1482 of the family's 1533-position model. The record is from RNAcentral.
UAAUACGUAUGCAGCAAGCGUUGUUCGGAAUUACUGGGCGUAAAGAGUGUGUAGGCGGUGCUCUAAGUCUGUUGUGAAAUCUCCCGGCUUAACUGGGAGGGUGCGGCGGAAACUGGAGUGCUUGAGGGUGGGAGAGGUAAGCGGAAUUCCUGGUGUANCGGUGAAAUGCGUANAUAUCAGGAGGAACACCUGUGGUGUAGACAGCUUACUGGACCACUUCUGACGCUGAGACNCGAAAGCGUGGGUAGCAAACAGGAUUAGAUACCCUGGUAGUCCACNCCCUAAACGAUGCAUACUUGGUGUGAGCCAUUCAUUUGGUUCGUGCCGGAGCUAACCGCGUUAAGUAUGCCGCCUGNGGGAGUACGGUCGCNAGGCUGAAACUCAAAAGGAAUUGACGGGGGCCCGCACAAGCGGGUGGAACCAUGUUGGUUCAAUUCGACGCANACGCGAAGAACCUUANCUGGGCNUCGAACGGCUUAAGAACNACGGUNGGAAANNUCNUUUUCCCCGCAAGGGACUUGAGUCGAGGUGCUGCAUGGCUGUCGUCAGCUCGUGUCGUGAGAUGUUGGGUUAAGUCCCGCAACGAGCGCAACCCUUGUCCUGUGUUGCCACUCCGUAAGGAAGCACUCGCAGGAGACCGCCAGCGAUAAGUUGGAGGAAGGUGGGGAUGAUGUCAAGUCAUCAUGGCCUUUAUGUCCAGGGCUACACACGUGCUACAAUGGACGGUACAAAGCGCUGCAAACCCGCGAGGGGGAGCCAAUCGCAAAAAACCGUUCUCAGUUCGGACUGCAGGCUGCAACUCGCCUGCAUGAAGCUGGAAUCGCUAGUAAUGGCGUAUCAGAACGAUGCCGUGAAUACGUUCCCGGGCCUUGUACACACCGCCCGUCACAUCACGAAAGUGGAUUGUACUAGAAGUCCUAAUCUAACAGGCCCAAGGUAUGAUUCAUGAUUGGGUG